CUCUUCCCCUGCAGCCGAUCCCUUACUGGCUCUACAAACUGCACGGCCUGAACAUCAACUACAACUGUGAGAUCUGUGGAAACUACACCUACAGAGGACCCAAGGCCUUCCAGAGGCACUUUGCAGAGUGGCGGCAUGCACAUGGAAUGCGCUGCCUAGGAAUCCCCAACACGGCUCAUUUCGCUAAUGUCACACAGAUAGAGGACGCCGUCUCCUUGUGGGCGAAGCUAAAGUCCCAGAAGGCGUCGGAGCGGUGGCAGCCGGACACAGAGGAGGAGUACGAGGACUCCAUUGGAAAUGUGGUCAACAAGAAGACGUACGAGGAUCUGAAGAGACAGGGCCUGCUGUAGACGGACAGCACGACUCUGAGAUGCUUCCUUUUUAAAAAAAAUCUAUUUACUCCUGUUGUUUUAUGUCUUAAGUAGUUCUGUUAUUUUCCAGACAACUUUUCUCCAGUUUGUAACAUGUGAACCUCUGAUGAUUUCAAUAAACCGAGGACUUUGAGUCCCUGUCAUUCCUAAA
This is a long non-coding RNA of Poecilia latipinna (sailfin molly), 522 nucleotides long. RefSeq lists it as uncharacterized. The record is from RefSeq and is a predicted model, not a curated record. Lineage: Eukaryota; Metazoa; Chordata; Actinopteri; Cyprinodontiformes; Poeciliidae. The transcript has 4 exons.